Molecule: ribosomal RNA, 270 nt
Filed under: uncultured archaeon
Lineage: Archaea
Description: partial 16S ribosomal RNA
Rfam family: Archaeal small subunit ribosomal RNA
Source: RNAcentral
CAGCCCCUCGAGUGGUGGGGAUGAUUAUUUGGCCUAAAGCGUCCGUAGCCGGCCGAGUAAGUCCCCCGUUAAAUCCAGCGUCUCAAGCGUUGGACUGCGGGAGAUACUGCUCGGCUAGAGAGUGGGAGAGGUGUGCGGUAUUCUGGGGGUAGGGGCGAAAUCCUUUGAUCCCCGGAGGACCACCAGUGGCGAAGGCUGCACACUAGAACACGUCUGACGGUCAGGGACGAAAGCUGGGGUAGCGAACCGGAUUAGAGACCCGAGUAGUCC